UACAGAGGGGGCAAGCGUUAUUCGGAAUUAUUGGGCGUAAAGGGCGCGUAGGCGGCUUGACAAGUGGCGGGUGAAAUCCCACGGCUUAACCGAGGAACUGCCUGCCAGACUGUCUUGCUUGAGACCGGGAGAGGUGAGUGGAAUUCCCAGUGUAGCGGUGAAAUGCGUAGAUAUUGGGAGGAACACCAGUGGCGAAGGCGGGUCGCUGGGCCGACACUGACGCUGAGGCGCGAAAGCCAGGGGAGCGAACGGG
RNAcentral lists this ribosomal RNA (253 nucleotides) under uncultured bacterium. RNAcentral describes it as "partial 16S ribosomal RNA". It matches the Rfam family "Bacterial small subunit ribosomal RNA", at positions 524 to 776 of the family's 1533-position model. The record is from RNAcentral.